This 468-nucleotide ribosomal RNA is filed under the name uncultured bacterium. RNAcentral describes it as "partial 16S ribosomal RNA". It matches the Rfam family "Bacterial small subunit ribosomal RNA", at positions 28 to 507 of the family's 1533-position model. The record is from RNAcentral.
GACGAACGAGGGAGGCGUGCUUAACACAUGCAAGUCGAACGGAAAGGCCCAGCUUUUGUGGGGUGCUCGAGUGGCGAACGGGUGAGUAACAAGUGAGUAACCUGGCCUUGACUUUGGGAUAACGUCAGGAAACUGGGGCUAAUACCGGAUAGGAGCUACUGCUGCAUGGUGGGGGUUGGAAAGCUUCGGCGGUUGGGGAUGGACUCGCGGCUUAUCAGCUUGUUUGUGGGGAAGUGGCUUACCAAGGAUUUGACGGGUAGCCGGCCUGAGAUGGUGACCGGCCACAUCGGGACUGGGAUACGGCCCAGACUCCUACGGGAGGCAGCAGUGGCGAAUAUUGCACAAUGGGCGGAAGCCUGAUGCAGCAACGCCGCGUGCGGGAUGACGGCCUUCGGGUUGUAUUCUGCUUUCGCCUGUGACGAAGCGUGAGUGACGGUAAUGUGUAAAGAAGCACCGGCUAACUACGUG